This 725-nucleotide ribosomal RNA is filed under the name Bifidobacterium longum. Its description in RNAcentral is "bacterial SSU rRNA". It matches the Rfam family "Bacterial small subunit ribosomal RNA", at positions 52 to 788 of the family's 1533-position model. Lineage: Bacteria; Bacillati; Actinomycetota; Actinomycetes; Bifidobacteriales; Bifidobacteriaceae. The record is from RNAcentral.
CACAUGCAAGUCGAACGGGAUCCAUCGGGCUUUGCUUGGUGGUGAGAGUGGCGAACGGGUGAGUAAUGCGUGACCGACCUGCCCCAUACACCGGAAUAGCUCCUGGAAACGGGUGGUAAUGCCGGAUGUUCCAGUUGAUCGCAUGGUCUUCUGGGAAAGCUUUCGCGGUAUGGGAUGGGGUCGCGUCCUAUCAGCUUGACGGCGGGGUAACGGCCCACCGUGGCUUCGACGGGUAGCCGGCCUGAGAGGGCGACCGGCCACAUUGGGACUGAGAUACGGCCCAGACUCCUACGGGAGGCAGCAGUGGGGAAUAUUGCACAAUGGGCGCAAGCCUGAUGCAGCGACGCCGCGUGAGGGAUGGAGGCCUUCGGGUUGUAAACCUCUUUUAUCGGGGAGCAAGCGUGAGUGAGUUUACCCGUUGAAUAAGCACCGGCUAACUACGUGCCAGCAGCCGCGGUAAUACGUAGGGUGCAAGCGUUAUCCGGAAUUAUUGGGCGUAAAGGGCUCGUAGGCGGUUCGUCGCGUCCGGUGUGAAAGUCCAUCGCUUAACGGUGGAUCCGCGCCGGGUACGGGCGGGCUUGAGUGCGGUAGGGGAGACUGGAAUUCCCGGUGUAACGGUGGAAUGUGUAGAUAUCGGGAAGAACACCAAUGGCGAAGGCAGGUCUCUGGGCCGUUACUGACGCUGAGGAGCGAAAGCGUGGGGAGCGAACAGGAUUAGAUACCCC